GAUUUUUUUCGCGGGUGGAAAUAUUCUAAAUUUUAUUUACAAUGACACAAAUAUUCUGAAUUUCGUUAUUCUUGACUCACCCAACUAAUUUUAGAAGACUUUUUCCCAAAAAAAAAAAAAAAAACUAGUUUUAGAAGACUAAAAUAUUAUUAAAACCUAAUUAAAAAAACUUGAGAACUCACGCAAAACCCUUCGUCUUCCAUACAUUUCAUUGCACAGUAACAUUACACAUCUCUCUGACUAUGGCGGUUUCGGAUUUUCUCAAGCAAUCCGAAUCUUGAUGCAUGGUGAAGUUUCAUGAAAAUUCUGUUUUUAUCUCACAAUUCAAUUAGCUUUAGUCCAAAUUCUCAAUAUUCUGGGUCGAAAUCACAUAUUGCGGUUCAGUAGGAGUUCGAGAGCGUAAUUUUUUUGUCGAAUUCCGGUUCAUCAGGUUUCAAAAGCAUCAAAAUUCUGGGCCGAAUUGCCACUUGCGGUUCAUCAGGAGUUCGAAAGCUUCCAAUUUGCCCCAAGAAUCUGAUAAUUUCAGCAUCUUCCGAGUUUAGAGAUGACAAAUUCUGUAAAUUGAAGCUGCUAAUUGACGCAAACUCCAUACUCGUUGAUUUUCUUCUGCAAAUUACUCAAGGUGUUGAUUGCUCGCGAGUGCUAUAUUUCAUUGUCCCAGAAUAGUUGGAUCUGCAUUUAGUGUUUGUGUGAUUGUGCCAGACAUGGCUGCUCCACCACCUAUUCCUCUAGAUUCCCCCUGGAGAGGAGUUGCCUCUUGUUUUGACCCCCGUUCGGAUAUCGCGAUUGACGAGCUCCAGCUUGAGUACGUGGCGAUGACCGUCGAGAUAUACAACACUGCUGUGGUUGACGCUGAUCAUGACUGGCCUCACCCUCCACUGUCCGAGAUUGUAUACCGGACCUUGCGCUAUGAUUUUCUUCACAUCUUCAGGUGGGAUACCCGGGCUUUCGACGAGAUUUUUUUGCAUGGAUUCCAUGCCCGACCUCAGGAUGCGGGUACUACUGAUCAGGUGUAUUUCAGCCUCACCGAUCAUGUGAGCAGGGGCGUUCGCCCUUUGGCCAUGCAGGGUCCCCCGCAUGUGUUCAUCAGCUGCACUUCUUCAGCCAGUUACACCCCGAGCGUCUCGGAGUAUCGAAAUGUUUUUCGAUACGAGAUAUAUGCUCCAGGUGGGAUCAAUGUGGCGGAGUCUCUCCCGGAUUACGCUUUUCCUUCCCAGGACGAGGUGUCUUUUGUUCAGCACAUCCAUCCUUCUUACAUCUUCUCGGCCCAGCUCUUCCGGCUACGUCCAGGACGAAUCCUCCCAUUUGCCACUAAGCUCAUAAUUAUCCUCAGUUAUUCAACGCUUGAAACGACGGUAUUCCAGGCGGGAGCGGGUUGAUGACAUGCUGCACCUUAAUGAUGGAUUCGACGCGGCCCCGAUGUUUCAGAACUUCUUCCCCCGCUAUUCAGUCCAAGUGUGUAAUCGAGCAUUACAAGUACAAUAUCACUAAAGGUAAAAAAAGUUCAAGGCCACCGAUACAGGAAAAUUGCGUGCAGAAUACAGUCGCCUCGUUGAAGGAUUGGCUCAAAGGGGAAAUUUAUCGAGUGGUGAUACUUGGCUUUCCAACCCGGCUCUGCCUGAUGAUAUCUUAAAAGAGGCGGUAGCAGGGAAUAUUCGCCGAGCAGAGCAUUUUUUAUCUGUUUUGCGUAGAUUGGUGCAAUAUAUCAAAGGCCGGUUACAAACUGAUAAUUUUAAAAAGGAGUCACCUGUUUCUUUUGUAGCAUCCCUACAUGCGCAAGCUGGACUUGACCAAAAAACCUUGAAAUUCUGUUAUGACCGCCUGCACUCCCUGAUGUUGACCCUUGAAAUAACUGAUACAGAUGAGUUCUCAAGUAUUCACUUGCUAUAAAGCCUGUAUUUGAACGUUUCCAGACAGUUGUAAUUACCUUUGGAACUCUGAGCCUAUCGAUCUGUACCUACGUCUUCUUAAUUUUAAUCCUGUAGUCAGUCGAAGUUUUACUAUGUCCUUGACGAGGGAGUGCAUAUGUCCAAUGGUCCUAACUCGUGGAAGUUAUCAACUUCCAGUUAGCACGAAGUAUGAUAUGAGAAGUGAUCCUGGUGUUGGAAGAAACUAUGGGAGACUAUUUCUUCGUCAGUUAUUCAUAUAUGGAUGCCAUUGUUUAUACUUGGAAUGAAACUGGAAUUCUAAAGGGGAAAGGUAGCCGAAGGUAUAGAUUUUGAUCGACAUUAUGGAAGACUAGUGAUCAUGUUUGGUGUUCCAUUCCAGUACACUUUGAGCAAGUGAGUUGAUAUGUUCCCUUCUUCAGAUAAACUUGCUAUUGCUCUUGUACUUUUAUUACUUCUGCCCUUGCAAUUGCAUGUUGCAUAUCUUUUUAUUUUCUA
Molecule: long non-coding RNA, 2384 nt
Organism: Beta vulgaris subsp. vulgaris (sugar beet)
Lineage: Eukaryota; Viridiplantae; Streptophyta; Magnoliopsida; Caryophyllales; Amaranthaceae
Exons: 10
Source: RefSeq, a predicted model, not a curated record